GACGAACGCUGGCGGCGUGCUUAACACAUGCAAGUCGAACGGUCCUGUUUUUGAAGCGUUUCGGCGUGGAGGGGACGGGGCAGUGGCGCACGGGUGAGUAAUGCGCGAGGACCUGCCCGCGGGAGGGGGACAGCAGUUGGAAACGGCUGGUGAUACCCCGUAGGCCGGGAGGUAAAAGGGCGGAGACGCCCGCCUGCGGAUGGACUCGCGUCCUAAUCAGCUAGUUGGUGAGGCAACGGCUCACCAAGGCGACGACGGGUAGCCGGCCUGAGAGGGUGUCCGGCCACACUGGAACUGAGACACGGUCCAGACUCCUACGGGAGGCAGCAGUGGGGAAUUUUGGGCAAUGGGGGAGACCCUGACCCAGCGACGCCGCGUGAGGGACGAAGGCCCUUGGGUCGUAAACCUCUUUUGCAGGGGAAGAAGAAGAUGACGGUACCUUGCGAACAAGUCCCGGCUAACUACGUG
This 468-nucleotide ribosomal RNA is filed under the name uncultured bacterium. RNAcentral's name for it is "bacterial SSU rRNA". It matches the Rfam family "Bacterial small subunit ribosomal RNA", at positions 28 to 507 of the family's 1533-position model. The record is from RNAcentral.